This 1184-nucleotide ribosomal RNA is filed under the name Triticum aestivum (bread wheat). RNAcentral describes it as "partial small subunit ribosomal RNA". Lineage: Eukaryota; Viridiplantae; Streptophyta; Magnoliopsida; Poales; Poaceae. The record is from RNAcentral.
GCGUUAGGAGCCAAAGAGAAGGCACUACCGUCAACAGGUGUUGGCCUGGAGGGGACCCAGUGCGGCGGGGACGGCGGAUGUGGGUGACGGCGCGGCGUGCGGCGGCCUAGAGGUGGGGGUGGGAGGGGUGAGGUGACCUAGGGGCGUGCGGCGUGGUGGGGGCCGGUACCCGCGACCGAUGGGCGGAGGGGGAGGGGGUCGAGGGGGCCUAGGGGCGUGGUGGGCCGGUACCGCUACCGACGAGGGGAGCGGCCCUUAGGGGCGAGGAGGCUGGUACUUCCCGAGGAGAUCGAGGCCGGCACGCGAGGUCGUGGCUGUCGGUGCGAGCAUGAGCACAUUAAGUUGACGCUGGGGUGGUAGCCUACCCGCCGGUACCGUACGGUUGUACGGCAGGGCCGCCUUCAGGAAAGGAGACAUAGAACUGGGGCCUGGAAAAAAAGACAUAGAAGUUUAACCGAGAGAGGGGAGAGAAAAAACCUAAAGUGCGAAGAGAAAGGAGAAGUUGACAAGCACUGGAAGGAGGGUCCAGAUGAAGGCGUAAAAACCAACCACUUCGUACGGUAGCAAGAAGCAAAGUUAGGUUUAGUCUGUACCCAGCCAGAGCGCGCGCUCGUGCCGUCGGGGACUCGUUGUAAAGCUACGAGCGUGAAGGAUCCUUGGUCCUCGGGGUGCUGGCGAAGGGAAAGAAGUCGAGCGACGGCUCGCAGAGGUCGAUUCUGCACUGCAGCUCUACCGGUACCGGCGGGCUACGGCCUCGCGGCGGCCGGUUCCUGGGUGGCCGUAGGUCUGGGGGAGGUGCGGUAGAGGUAGAGCGGCCUCUGGACGUGGUUCAGGGUAGGUCGCGGAAGCGGUGGGAAGCGGGGGGCGGGGCAUCGAGACGUCGGGCUCGCGAAUUGGCUGAACACGGACUUCGUCUCCUCUCCUCGAGGGACGGUGCUCGGAGAGGCCGCGACCGUUUGGUCGUCCGACUGGGGCGGAGGAUGGAAAAAAAGGCGGCGCUGCGUAGUGGGGAAGCGACAGAGGAUGCCGCACCUGCGGCUGCCGUUCGCCGCCGGCCAUGGGCCGCCACCUCUUGCGCCACUUCGUCAAAUUAAUUCCUAGCGCCCAUCCUAACAUUGAUUACGUCCCAACUAAAACAUUUUUGCUUCGCAAAAGACUAUAGAAAUGGAUUAUUAUUUCGUUUA